This 459-nucleotide ribosomal RNA is filed under the name Triticum aestivum (bread wheat). RNAcentral describes it as "partial small subunit ribosomal RNA". Lineage: Eukaryota; Viridiplantae; Streptophyta; Magnoliopsida; Poales; Poaceae. The record is from RNAcentral.
AUGAUGGCCAUGCCGUCUGCACCGCUGUACGGCUACGACGCCCCCGGGGGCCCGCCGCCUGGCUACGGCUACUCUGCUGCCCCCGGCGGCCCGCCGCCUGGCUACGGCUACUCUGAUGCCCCGUCUCCUCAACAGCAGCAGACCUGGGACAUGGCGUCGCUCCAGGCUGCGCUGCACAAUGCUACGGCCGGUCCAUCGUCGUCGGGCAGCACAUCCGACUGGUACCUCGACUCCGGCGCUGCUGCGCAUAUAGCCUCCAACCCGGGUAUUCUCUCCUCCCUUCGUCCUUCCUCCACACACACCUCCAUCAUCGUCGGGAAUGGCGCGCACCUUCCCAUCACGCACGUUGGCACGGGCUACCUUGCCACCUCUACCAAUGCUCUCGCUCUCCGCAGCGUUCUUCUUACACCAUCUCUUGUCAAAAAUUUGCUAUCUGUUCGACAGCUCUGUCGUGAGUAG